GAAAUAAAUUUAAUUUAUUAUUAAAAUUUACUUUUCUUAUUUGGUUAGAAAUUUAUUUUUUUAUAAAAAAAUAAUAGGGGAUAAUCUCUAUUUUUAAUCUAUAAUUUAUUUAUUUUUGUUUAUAGUAGGAUUAAAAUCUUCCAUCUUUAUAUUACGUUAUAGUAUAAAACUUUUUUUAUUAAUUUUUUAAUUUUUAGUAAUUUAUUAAAAUUUUUAAUUAAAUAUUCUAUUUAAAGUAAUUAUGAUUAAAUUAGUAUAUUUAUAAGUUUGAAUAUUUAUUAUUUACACAUGUAAAUAAGGAACUCGGCAAAAUUUAUUGUAUUCGCCUGUUUAUCAAAAACAUGUCCUCUUGUUUAUAUAUGAGGUCUGACCUGCCCAGUGAAAAUUUUAACGGCCGCGGUAUUUUGACYGURCAAAGGUAGCAUAAUCAUUAGUCUUUUAAUAGAAGACUGGAAUGAAAGGUUUAACGAAUUAUUAGCUGUCUCAUUUAUAUACGGUAUAAUUUAAUUUUUAAGUUAAAAGGCUUAAAUUUUAUUGAUGGACGAGAAGACCCUAUAGAGCUUUACAUUUUAUUUUUAAUAUUAUUUUGUUACAUAUAUUUUUAUUAAAAAGCUUAAUGUUUUGUUGGGGUGAUAAAAUUAUAUAAUAAACUUUUUUAUUUAUAAACAAUUAUUUUUGAUUAAAUGAUCCAAUAUUAUUGAUUAAUAGAUUAAGUUACCUUAGGGAUAACAGCGUAAUAU
RNAcentral lists this ribosomal RNA (740 nucleotides) under Coeliccia albicauda. Its description in RNAcentral is "partial 16S ribosomal RNA". The stretch from base 287 to 494 matches the Rfam family "Bacterial large subunit ribosomal RNA", at positions 1697 to 2031 of the family's 2925-position model. The record is from RNAcentral. Lineage: Eukaryota; Metazoa; Arthropoda; Insecta; Odonata; Platycnemididae.